This 206-nucleotide long non-coding RNA is filed under the name Sorghum bicolor (sorghum). Its description in RNAcentral is "long non-coding RNA (SBIC_LNC002595)". The record is from RNAcentral. Lineage: Eukaryota; Viridiplantae; Streptophyta; Magnoliopsida; Poales; Poaceae.
UAGACCAUCGGUAUUAGGUUGUUGUGUCUCGUGUACGAACUCAAACCCGUCAACAAUUCCAGUUGUAUAAGGUGCAGAGCUACCCUCUCCAUGCUUUAUCCAAAUCAAGUAAUCUUUCAUAAAUCCUCGACGGACCAGAUGAGUAAGGAUUUGUUGAAUGUCAUCAGAUACAACAAGAUUUUUACAAUCCAUGCAUGGACAAUGUA